UAAAAAUCAAAGAACAAAAGAAAAAUGCUACCACAGACUUAAUCUAAAGCUUCAAAACUCUUCUCACCAAAAACCACUAUCAUCGCACACAACCCAAAAUUCUUCAAACCCUUUGCUUAUUCACCAAACUGAAAAUAAUAAACAACAAUAAAGUAAAUUCAAUCUAUUAUUAAUAAUAUGGUUAAUUCAAUAUUAAAGAUUAUUCAUAAUCUAAAAUUAAGGAAUCCCAAAUAUCAAAUUACAACAAUUCCUAAUUUUCUAGUAACAGUAGCUCAAUUGAACGAACAAAAUAAAAAUUUGAAACAACAAUCCCAAACCUUAGAAACAAUCAUGGGUAGUCGCGAUGUUAAAAAGUUGUUGUAAGAUGAUGUCCACGACGACCUACAACUCCACGGCUGUCAUAGCCACGCCGUGGUCAUUCUCGAUUGGAAAAGAGCAAAAGAAGUAUGGGUCUUGACUGCUGAAUGGUUGUGAUAAGAGGAAAAUCAAUGACUCUCUUGACUGCCAAAGAAGAAGAAUUAAGACGAAGCUCUCGGCGAUGCCAUGGCAGUGCUUUCGCCUGAGAUUGUUGAGUUGAUUGAUUGUUCAUACAAUGAAUGACACGAUUAAAUCGACGGUGAGUUGUAUGGUUCUGCAGUGACAUUAAGGACGCAAAUAAUUCAGGUUUUGGUCGCCGAAUUUUGAGGAUUUUGAUGGUCUCUGUCAACACCCCUUUGCAAGUUAUAGAUUAUGACUUCUGGGUUUUGGAUUUUAGUUUGUAGAAAUUAAGUUUUAGUUUUGAUUCAUUGUAGGAUUGGAUUUGAAUAUUGAUUGUACUUUUGUCAUGCACUUGUAAAGGGAAAAAAAUGAAGAAAAAGAUGAAAAAGGAGUAAGGCAAAGAAAAAAAAAUGAAAGAAAAACUCAAAGGAUUAAGCAAGAGGAAAAAAAUGAAGAAAAAGACGAAGAAGAAGUAAGGAAGAUGAAAAAGAAAUGAAGAAGAGAAAUUCAAUGUUUCAUUUAUUUUUUUCAUUUUAAUAUUGAUUUUUAUUAUACCUAUGGACUAUAAAAUGUCUACAUAAGAAAACAAAUGGGUGAUGGAAUAUUUUAGAAAUUGUAAAGGGACAAAGGAAAUAUAUUUUUAAAUAGUAGGUGUGUAACAAUUUAAGUUAAUGAUUUUCGUUAUUAGCGGGCUAUAUUGUACUUUCACGAGUUAACGG
This 1196-nucleotide long non-coding RNA is filed under the name Citrus maxima (pomelo). RNAcentral describes it as "long non-coding RNA (CMAX_LNC001996)". Lineage: Eukaryota; Viridiplantae; Streptophyta; Magnoliopsida; Sapindales; Rutaceae. The record is from RNAcentral.